This is an RNA transcript of Scylla paramamosain (green mud crab), 4097 nucleotides long. It is a transcript of the gene named histone-binding protein N1/N2-like, with no coding region annotated. The transcript is spliced from 14 exons. NCBI's taxonomy places the organism in Eukaryota, Metazoa, Arthropoda, Malacostraca, Decapoda, Portunidae. The record is from RefSeq and is a predicted model, not a curated record.
UCUACACGCCUGAGCCCAGACCGAGACCCAGAGAAAUGUAAACAGGCACGAGUCAGACUUGAUAUAACGCUGAAUUUGUUGCUUUUUAGAGGGGCAGUCGGUCUGUACAUGCGUGAGGUGGCGAGGGGCGUGGCCAGGGGGCGGCUAGUAGCGUGUGCCACCAUGGAAAUAUGUACAGACAUAAAGAAGACGCCCUCAAGAAAGAGGGGCAGUCGGUCUGUACAUGCGUGAGGUGGCGAGGGGCGUGGCCAGGGGGCGGCUAGUAGCGUGUGCCACCAUGGAAAUAUGUACAGACAUAAAGAAGACGCCCUCAAGAAAGACUACCCCAUCCCCUGCCUCCCGCUGUGCCCCCACCCAGACACCACGGCCCAGCAGUGACGCCAUUCCACCUGCUACACGACGCUGGCUGACGCACUCCAGACGUGGCAGCAACAGGAGGUGGAGGGCAGGAGCAAGAGUCGGAUGGAUGGCGAAGGAAGUGUGCAGGUUGGCAGUAAACCUCCCUGAAGGUUCCAGAACUGCUCACCAAGUGUCCAGCCCAGCCUGUCACAAGACUAUGUGACAGUGGACCUUCCACUCAUACUGAAAACAGCUGUGCACUGCCACUCCACAGGAAGUGGUGACCACUCUAGAUUGAGUUGUCUUGAAGCUGAGAUGAGUUGGUCGGGUAAUGAGUGACUUGCAUCAAGUGACCGUGAGGUGUUGGACGUUGAUAUUGUGUUAUUGCAAGUGUAACCAGUAAUAACAGCGUUCGACCGUUUCUCUAGGGGCAAGCGACACCUCCUGGUGGGGGACUUCAAAUCUGCUGUCGCUGCCUUCGAGGAGGCAACAGAGUCCCUGGUGGAGCUGUGUGGGGAGCAGGCGCCCGAGUGUGGUGACGCGUACUGCCGCUGUGGCCGUGCAUUGCUGGAGCUGGCACGCAAGGAGGCAGGGGUGCUGGGGCCAGAUCUGGAUGGUGCCAGUAGUCAGGAGGGAAGCACAGGGGAAGAGGAGGACGAGGAGGAAGAGAGUUAAGAGUCACAAGAGGAGGAGGAAGGUGGAAAGAAAGAGGAAGGAGAGGAGGAGGAGGAGGAGGAGGAAGAUGGAGAAGGAAAGGAGAAAGAUAAGAAGGAAGGAAAUGCUGCAGAAGGAGAAGAGCAAUAAGACAUUAGAAUUGACAGAGAAACCAGACAAGGGACUGCAUUUGAAGAAGCACAAGAACCAAGAAAUUACAUCAUUCAAUGAAAUGACAACAUAAUCUAAAAUAGAAAUCAAAAACGUCACAAGACAGAAUAGUGAGCUGCAUGCACUUAUCACAGAGUAUAAAGUCACUCCCUCAGAGGAAAAAGACAAGGAUGGCAUGUCUUCAUGUGAGAACUCAGAAGCUAAAUGUACAGAUACCAAGGGGAAAUUGCUGGGUCAAGUGGCUACACUGACAUCUGAGGUUAGCAGGUUGGAGAGUGAGUGCAGCAGUCUUCAGGUUCAGCUAGACUGUGAGAGGGAUAAGUAUAACAAACUGCUGGGAGAAUCUCUUGCUCAUGAAAAGUUGUCUGAAGAUGUCAUAACUGAACCAAAAGGAGAAACAACAGGAUUGGGAGGAACUGAGCUUUAACAGAAGCUGCAACAACUGCAGGAGGCUCACAGGGUCCUGGAGAGCAGGUUAACUUGCAGCAUGAAGGAGGUGGCUGAGCUAAGUGACAGGAAGUAGCAGCUUAAGCAUGCUGUAGUGCAUGAGGAGACAGAGUCCAUCGGUGUAUGCAUGUUUUUUGCUCAUUUGAAUCAUCUGUAAAAGUGAAGUGGAGGAAGUGUUUACUGUUUACUGUAUGCCAUUUCCUUGGUCUUUUAAUGAAGAAUUUUAUCCUUCUUCAGGUGACUACAUCACCAUCUACCAGUUGCAGCGAGGAGUGAUGAAGCAACAAGCUCGAGAACGCGAGUUAGACCUUGCCAGCCUCCAUCAUGAAUGAGAGGAAAUGAAGCAAAACCACUCUGCAGGAUUUGAUAUCAAAGCUGGUGCAGGAAAAGGAAGCAGAUCAUGACCUUCAGCAGCUCGAGAAGAUAAGCAGCGUCCUUAAGAGUCCAGUUGCUAUCUUUAGCAGUGUUGGAACCAGUGAGUCUGAGACACCCACCACCAGUGGAAAGGUGGCUGACGAGCGCCUCAAGCACUCUGAAAAGGUGGAGCAACAACAAGAAACAGAAAAUUGCAUCCAUCAUUCUUUGCCUGAGGAGGGAAUUGAUGCUCUGUUGACCCUUCACACUGAUGUCCCUCAUGAGGAGGGAGAAUAUGAAUCCUACAGAACUUGCCCAUAGGAAGACCAAAACUGUUACUGCUGCCACACUGCCACCACUUCCACUGACACCAAAAGCCCAACUGUGCAGAGAAUCCUGGACCUCCGCAAUGAAAUGGAGUCCACCAGUCACCUGGAGCACUUUAGCCUCCAAAAGUUCCAUCCGUGUCCAUUGUGUUUGGGUAAACUUAUCACUGUAUAAGGGGACAAGUAUCAGUGUAUGGUUACUAUAUACUCAUUUGUACUUAAAGAUGUCAUGUCACAUCAUUCUCUCUCUCUCUCUCUCUCUCUCUCUCUCUCUCUCUCUCUCUCUCUCUCUCUCUCUCUCUCUCUCUCUCUCUCUCUCUCUCUCUCUCUCUCUCUCUCUCUCUCUCUCUUUUCUUUCUUUCUUUCUUUCUUUCUUUCUUUCUUUCUUGCUUUCUUUUGUUGCAUAUGUUACUGCUUUACAUUCCUCCCCACAGUAUUUUUUCAUCUACUUUAUGACUGCAGUAGUUUUAUCAUCCCAGUGUAUGCUGUAUCCACUCUGAAACUGUAAUUCACCAAUCAGCUCAAAUGUGUCUCUGUUUUGAUAAUCAUUAAUUUGUUUCAGCUACACAACCACUCUGAUAAGGGACAAAAUCUACUUCACCAGUCAUCUAUGUCAUACAGUCAUAUAUAUUCAUACAUAUGACAAAAUACUCUUCCUAAGACAUUUCUUAUUUUCUCUUCUCAAGUGACCUGUCCAUCUAUCUAAGGUACCACAUAACAUUUAAAACUUACAAUAUUGUGUUUAAUUCAUGAACACUUUUUUGUCUAUCUAUGGAGACUUGCGUAUAGACUUGAAAUGUAUUGGGAGUUUUCUUUAUCUCUCAUUCUAUACCUAACACCUGUUCCUAAGAAUCCCCAGGUGAUAGCCAUGGUGACUGGCUGGUCUCCUACUGAGUGGCUGGGGUUUUCCAAAAGUGAGGGUUGGUGUUCCAUACCAUACCAUGUGCCCUGUUUGUAUUCCUUCUUUGUCCUCUGUAUUAUAUUCUAUGUAAAGAUGGUGCUGGGGUGGGAUCUACUUCUUAUUCCCUAAAAGUGAUGAGGAGUGACACUGGGCAGCAUUGAUUUGCUCCUUAGAGAUGGCUGGGUUCCUGUGGAUGAGUGGGCCAUGCUGUGCUUUGUCAAGGAUGGUGUUUGGUAUUGUGAUGACUCUUGCCACAAUCAAGUGCCUCCCACAGAGUAGUGGAGUACCUAUGUAUGGUGUUGACCCAAGCUGUCCAGGUCUCAUCCAAUGCCUUAAUAUGAUUUAGAUGAUCAAAAUGGUUUAACUCACCAUUUAAUCAGCUGACUGAUUUGAAUGGAGAAGUAUGUAAUGUGUUGUAGCCUAACCAUCCCUGCCAGCAUGGUCAGAUUCUUGGUAGUAACCUGAAAUGCUCCUAGGUAGUGAGUAUCAUUGCACAUAAUGAUCUUUACUUUGUCAGUAAUUCAAUGAUACUGAAUAUUACUCUACUGGAUUUUGCUCACCACUGCUUGGUAACUUUUGGCCAUAAUCCCAGGUCUGGAAUGAUAUGAAGCCAUGUUUUUACAUUCCAUAUGAGACAGGCAAGCACUAUGCUUUGCCUGACUGAUACCUGUACUUUACAUUUAUGACCCCAGGUAGUUCAUCACUCUCUCUCUCUCUCUCUCUCUCUCUCUCUCUCUCUCUCUGUUUGGAAUUAUACUGUAUAUUAGGAAAUAUCAUUAAAGAGUGUGUGUGUAAAAAGUGUUUGCAUUAUUGUGCAUUUGAUGUUAUAGCCCCAGGUUCUUAAAGUUUUCUAGUUUCAUGAUUUAUAAAGAUUGCUAUUUUUAAUAAAGUUAUUGAAAUUGUUA